GUGAUUUUUUAAUACUUGAAAAGGUAAAGAAGAAAUACAUACAAAGUUACAAAGCAAUAAAAGCUCGUAAGGAAAAAAAUAAAUAAUUUCAUGGCAUACAUGAUUCAGAAUCACAAUUGAACCUAAUAUCGCGUUAGAUGUUAAUUAGAUGACAAGUUCAAAUAUUGAAAUCAAAGGUUAAAGAACUUUGCUAUUUGUACAUUGAUUUUUGACACGUUCGUUGUGCUUUGCCUACUGUCUUUGAAUAAUGAUCAAUUCCAAGGCCGAAAAGAAAGCUUAUUAGAGCAUUGAAUGGACCUCUGAAUCUUUUGCGCUAAUUCCAUCAAUUGUUGGGGGAGGGUGGUUGUAGAUCCGCUGCUAAACUCAUUUGGAAACUGACCCCUUCAAGCCUAUAGCCGGCAAAGUCACUCACAACGGAGAAAGGGACCCCGUCCCAAUUCAAGGAAAAAUAUGAUAGUCUACAUUGUUGUCAAGUGUCAAUUGGAUGGAAAAACUGUUUGAAAUUUAAAUUGUCAAAUAUGAUAAUGAUACAUGACAAAGUGUAAACUAAAUGGUACACCACAGUGUACAUGUAGCAGAGUUCAGGAGCCCUUUUUGCCAAUCAACAAUAUCUAUGUUCAAGCAUCGUCUAAGGCAAUUUUUUACUAAUAAUUAGUUCUGUUGAAACUGUCCAACCACUCGGUGUUGGUGCGAUGUCUCCAAGUACACGAGAAAGAGAUAGAUGAACAAGGGGGAAAUUGCAAAUCUUGACCCAUGAAAAACCUGACUUCAAGUUACAUGUUGACACUUUUUCCAUCAUCAAUUCUAUGAUAUAUUGUGGAAUACAUAUACGUCUCAUGAUAGUAUAGAUGUUUGUAUUCAAGGUCUUUAAUUUGUCUCUCAAGAAUGACAAAGUAUAAACAAGAUUUUUGUAGGAAAAAUGACGCAAAUGAUAAGUUUGUUAUGCAUGAAAAUCAAGGGAAUGCAAGUGUUAUAUGGGCUUGUCCAACCCAAGAAGAAAAAGCCCAAUCCUCUUUAUUUUCGGUCAACAGAAGUGGCUACAUACACAUAUAUAGUCUCAAAAACCAUUGAUGGCGUGCAAGAAGAGACAAAACCAAGGCUGCUGGGAAGAAAAUUAAAACCAUAGCUACUAUAUAAAAUACAGAGAGACUCUUGCUUGAACUAAAAGAAGAAAACCAAGCUGCUAGAAGAAGGAAAAAUAAUUGGAAGGAAAGUUUUCUUUUAAUCUUUUGGGUGUAGAUUCACACAAGAUUUAUUCUACAUAAUACAAAUUGGAAUUUUUCUAAGGUUUAUUUUGGGUAUUCUAGAGGUGUAGUAUUCCAAGUGAGUUCUCACAAUUUUAAUCAAAUUGGUGAUUUGUGGUGAGAUUAUUUAUUGUCCUUAGAGAGUAAUUAUUGUGUAUUUCCAAUUUGUUGAGAAUUCAAAUUUUGGAGCAUAGACUUGAAUAUUGUAAUCUAUAUUUUUAUUAUAGUGGAUUUGGUCGUAGUUGCCCUGUCAUUUUUUUCCCUCUACACUGGAGGAUUUUUUCAAUGUAAAAAUUUGGUGUUACGUUUUGCUUUUUUUAUUUUGAUCAUCUAUUUGCAUAUUCAAUCACUCUAGUUGGUUGCUUGGAUUGGUGAAUUUAUUCUUACAAUAAGUGAAAUUGCCUAACAAAGUGGUAUUAGAGCUCAUGUUAUGUGAGUGUGAUUUAUUACGGGAAUAAAAGGAGAAUAUUUCGGGCACUAUGAUUUAAUUAGUGGUUUCAAAUUAUUCUAUUUGGAAGCUUAUGAUGGAGGAUAUCAUUUAUUAUAAGGAUUUACAUAAACCUAUUGAAUGUGAUGGUGCUAAACCAAGCACUAUGAGUGAUAGUAACUGGAAGGAGAUGAAUGAAAAAGCCAUUGGAUAGAUUAGACAGUGGGUUGACCUUAAUGUAUUUCAUCAUGUAUCUCGCCCAUAGUCUUUAGGAAAAAAAUGGGGAGUUUGUAGGAGAUGAAAACUACUCAAAAUAAAACUUUUGCUAUUAAAAAGUUUGUAAAUCUGAAACUAGAGUAGGGAGAAUCAGUUGCUGAGAAUUUGAGUGAAUUCCAAUACUUGAUAAAUUAGUUGAUCACAAUGAAAAUAGUGCUAGAUGAUGAGAUGCAAACACUAUUACUUCUGAGUUCAUUGCCUGAUAAUUGGGAGACUUUGGCUAUAUCACUUAGUAACUCUAUUUCGAAUCGUGUGCAUGAACUUACUUUAGUUGACAAUUUGUUUAAUGAAAAAAUACGAAGGAAGGACUUGGGUAGGAACGAUGCACAAGCUCUUAUUACAGAAAACAGAGGAAGGAGUAAAAGCAAAGGUCCUAAGAGACGUUGUAACUUCAGAAGUCAAUCAAAGAUAAGAGGAAAUGUCAAAUGUUUUUAUUAUGACAAAGAGGGUCAUAUAAAGAAACAUUGCAUGGCUUGCAAAAAUAAAUUGAAAGAGGAGAAAAAUCAGAAAAAAACUAAUCAAAAUACAGUCGCUAGCGCUUCAGAUGAAGAAGAAUUAGUAAUAGUUUUUUCGCUGAAGAUGAGCAGUGUUGUCAUGUUGCAGAUUCAUUUGUUGAAUGAGUUAUUUACUCAACGGCUUCUUACCAUGUUACUCCAAGACGAGAGCUCUCCACUUCAUACAAAUCAGGCAACUUUGGUAGGGUAAAGAUGGUUAAUGACAGUUUUGUCAGUAUUAUGGGAAUUGAUGAUAUCUCUCUUCAGACAGAUAUUAAAUAUAACUUGACAUUGAAGAAUGUAUAACAUGUUCCCGACAUGUGCUUGAAUUUGCUAUCUAUACAUGCCUUUGAUGAAACAGGGUACGAUCGUUAUUUUGACAACGGAAGAUGGAAACUAACAAACGGUCGAUGGUAUUUGCUAGAGGAAAAUUUAUUGCACACUUUACAAGACACAAAUAAAGGUGUGUAGUGAAGCGAUAAAUACAACUAAAAGUGAUUCAUCACUAGACUUGUGGCACAAGCGAUUGGCUCACAUGAGCUAGAAAGGACUACAUAUUUUGGCAAGGAAGUCUCUCAUUCCUUUUACCAAAAGUAUAUCAUUAAAUUCAUGUGAUUAUUGUUUAUUUGGUAGACAGCAUCGAGUUUCCUUUAAAAAAUCCUCUAGUAGAAAACCUAAUAUUUUAGAUUUGAUUUAUUCUAAUGUUUGUGGUCCCAUUGAGGUGGAAUCCUUAGGUGAUAUAUUUCUUACUUUUAUUGAUAAUGCUUCACGAAAGUUGUGGGUGUUCUUUUUUAGAUCAAAAAAUUAGGUUUUCCAAUAUUUCAAGAAAUUUCAUGCUAUGGUAGAAUGGAAAAGUGGAAAGAUUUUGAAGUGUCUUCGAACUAAUAAUAGAGGAGAAUACACGUCUAAAGUGUUUGAAAAUUACUGGUCAGAACAUGGAAUUAGACAUGAGGAGAUAGUACUUGUACUCUACAGCAUAAUGGUGUGGUAGAAAGAAUGAACCAUACCAUUGUAGAAAAGGUCAGGAUCAUGUUAAGGAUGACUGGGUUACGUAAGUCAUUUUGAGGUGAAGCAGUUUGAACAGCGUGCUACUUAAUUAACCGAUCUCCAUCAGGUCCUUUAGAUUUUGAGAUUCAAAAAAAUUGUGGACAGGAAAAGAUAUUUUUUAUUCUCACUUAAAGGUUUUUUGGUAUAAAGCAUUUGCACGUGUGGCUAAGGAACAAAGGGUGAAGCUAGAUAAUAAAGCUAGUCCUUGCAUUUUUUUGGCUACGAAGAUGUAAAAUUUGGCUAUAGAUUAUGACAUCCAGAAAAGAAGAAAAUAAUCAGAAGUAGAGAUGUGAUCUUUCAUGAAAAUCAAAAGUUGGCGAAUUUCGAGAAAUUUGGGAUUCAAAGACGUGUUGAUAAGGGUGUCACUGACCUUAUAACUGUAUCUUUGCCUCCAGAUAGUGCCACUCAGGGGAUAGAGACACAUGUUGACGAUCAUACUGAUGAACCAACAGGGGUUGAUGAUGAUGAUUUAGAGGAUAUUGAACAGGGAGAGUAGCCUACUAUAUCAUAACCUCAUAUCAGAAGAUGUAAUAGACAGCAUCGUUUAUCAACCAGGUAUCCAGCAUCAGAUUAUAUGUUGGCAAUUGAUGAGGGAAAGAAAAAUGUUUUCAGGAGGUACAAUCUUAUAAAGACAAAUAGAACUGGGUGAAGGUUAUACAUGAAGAGAUGAGUUCUUUAUAGAAGAAUAACACUCAUGAGUUUGCAGAGUUUCCUGAAGGUAAAAAGGCAUUAAAAAAGAAAUGGGUGUUCAAGGUAAAUAAAGAUUACGAAAAGCUAGUGAAGUAUAAAGCUCAACUGGUGGUGAAGAGUUUCGAUCAGAAAAAAUGGAUUGACUUUGAUGAGAUAUUCUCUCCUGCUGUCAAAAUGACUUCCAUUCGAGUAGUUUUAGGUUUAGUAGCCAGUUUGGAUCUUGAGCUUGAGCAAUUAGAUGUGAAGACCACUUUUCUCCAUGGGGAUUUGGAGGAAGAAAAUCUAUAUGGUUCAGCCAGAAGGAUUUGAAGUAAGAGAAAAAGAGCAUAUGGUUUGCAUAUUGAAAAAGAGUUUAUAUGGGUUGAAACAAGCUCCAAGACAGUGGUAUAAGAAGUUUGAUUCCUUUAUGGUGGAUCAUGGUUAUACCAGGACAGAUGCAGAUCAUUGUGUUUAUAUCAGAGAAUUUCGUAGUGGUAACUUUAUCAUCCUUUUGCUACAUGUAGAUAAUAUGUUGAUAGUGGGACAAGAUGUGUAGUUGAUUCGAAGUUUGAAGGUAUAUGUAUUCAAAUCGUUUGACAUGAAGGAUCUUGAACUAGCAAUACAAAUUUUGGGGAUACAUAUUCAUCGUGAUAGGAAAGCCAGAAUGUUAUGGUUAUCACAAGAGAAAGAGAAUGCUAGAAAUGUUUAACAUGAAAAAUGCUAAACCAAUUGGAAUAGCACUUAGUAGCCACUUCAAACUGAGUAAGGUGACUUGUUCUUCUAAGAAGGAAAAUAAAGAAAGAAUGGCAAAAGUUUCUUACUCCUCAACAGUUGGGAGUUUAAUGUAACCCAUGAUUUGUACACGGCCAGACAUUGCUCAUGCAGUUGGGGUAGCCAGCAGGUUUCUUGUUAAUCCCGAUAAAAUCAUUGGGAGGCAGUGAAAUGGAUCUUUAAAUACUUGAGAGGAACUUUAACAUGUGCUUGACUUUUGGAGUUUCAAAACCAAUUUUGGAGGGUUGUAUAGAUGCAGAUAUGACUGGUGACGUUGAUGAUAGAAAAUCAACUUCAGAACAUUUGAUUACUUUUGUAGGGGGAGCUGUUUUGUAGUAGUCAAAACUACAAAAGUGUAUUGCCUUAUCUACAACUAAGGUUGAGUAUAUUGUAGCAAUUGAAAUAGCGAAAGAAAUGCUUUCGAUGAAAUGAUUUCUGUAAAAUUUGGGUUUGAAGCAAGACGGACGACAUGAUCCAUCCCGAAUCACCUUAGUGGACUCGACACGUGUCUUGUGCCGAUUGUAGAUACCAGUUGAACUCGGACCCACCAAUAAGGCACCUUUACUUAUU
This 5498-nucleotide long non-coding RNA is filed under the name Olea europaea subsp. europaea. The record is from RNAcentral. Lineage: Eukaryota; Viridiplantae; Streptophyta; Magnoliopsida; Lamiales; Oleaceae.